Molecule: ribosomal RNA, 505 nt
Filed under: uncultured bacterium
Lineage: Bacteria
Description: bacterial SSU rRNA
Rfam family: Bacterial small subunit ribosomal RNA
Source: RNAcentral
AGUGAACGCUGGCGGCAGGCCUAACACAUGCAAGUCGAACGCGAAAGGUCUUCGGACUGAGUAGAGUGGCGCACGGGUGAGUAACACGUAGGUAAUCUACCCUUUGGCGGGGGAUAACGUUCCGAAAGGAGCGCUAAUACCGCAUAAGACCACGGAGUCUCCGGACGCUGUGGGAAAAGGUGGCCUCUUCUUGAAAGCUACCACCGAAGGAUGAGCCUGCGUCCCAUCAGCUAGUUGGUAAGGUAAUGGCUUACCAAGGCGAAGACGGGUAGCUGGUUUGAGAGAAUGAUCAGCCACACUGGCACUGGAACACGGGCCAGACUCCUACGGGAGGCAGCAGUGAGGAAUAUUGGGCAAUGGGCGAAAGCCUGACCCAGCCACGCCGCGUGAGUGAUGAAGGCCCUCGGGUCGUAAAGCUCUGUGGAGAGGGACGAAAACCCUGGUUUCAAAUAGGCUCCAGGCUUGACGGUACCUCUUUAGCAAGCACCGGCUAACUCUGUGCCAG